This is a long non-coding RNA of Cherax quadricarinatus, 683 nucleotides long. RefSeq lists it as uncharacterized. NCBI's taxonomy places the organism in Eukaryota, Metazoa, Arthropoda, Malacostraca, Decapoda, Parastacidae. The record is from RefSeq and is a predicted model, not a curated record.
CUAGAAGUUUCUCAGGUGGUGCAACAUCAACCUCACAGUCUUCUACAAGGUUAAAAGUUCCAGUAAUAUUAUUCAUGAGGUGCUGUAGCUCGAAUGUUAAAUAUUUAAUAUUUGUUGAGCAAUGUAGCGUAACGAGAAUAAAAGCAGCAUUGAUACGUUAAUAAGAGCAAUUUAUAUGAGUGUUGUGUCACUGAGGAGAAUGUUAGUGGUGGUGGGUCGCGUUCGGGCGCGCUAGCGUGAUGUGUCUGACUGACGGCCCAGGGCUCCACCAAGAAGCAGCUCAGGGCACUUCUUCACCGCUGGUGUGAGCGUCACUGCUCCUGCUAGGCCCUAGCACACACCAAGAUGACCCCUUUCGCGGGCUUCACACAUUCGCGAAUUCCCAACUGCCAAAUUCCCAGCCACCAAGUCGCCAAAUCAUAUUCAAGUUUCCUGCCACCUGCGAGUCCCUACUACCCUCCCACCGAUCCUCGCAACUGGCAGCCAGCCCUCCCACCACUCAGUGUGAUUGAGCGGUAGAGGCAGCGGUAGAGGCAGCGGUAGAGGCAGCGGUAGAGGCAGCGGUAGAGGCAGCGGUAGAGGCAGCGGUAGAGGCAGCGGUAGAGGCAGCGGUAGAGGCAGCGGUAGAGGCAGCGGUAGAGGCAGCGGUAGAGGCAGCGGUAGAGGCAGCGGUAGAGGCAGCG